This 424-nucleotide ribosomal RNA is filed under the name uncultured microorganism. RNAcentral's name for it is "bacterial SSU rRNA". It matches the Rfam family "Bacterial small subunit ribosomal RNA", at positions 9 to 431 of the family's 1533-position model. The record is from RNAcentral.
GAGUUUGAUCGUGGCUCAGAUUGAACGCUGGCGGCAUGCCUUACACAUGCAAGUCGAACGGCAGCAUGAUCUAGCUUGCUAGAUUGACGGCGAGUGGCGAACGGGUGAGUAAUACAUCGGAACGUGCCCUGUAGUGGGGGAUAACUAGUCGAAAGAUUAGCUAAUACCGCAUACGACCUGAGGGUGAAAGUGGGGGACCGCAAGGCCUCAUGCUAUAGGAGCGGCCGAUGUCUGAUUAGCUAGUUGGUGGGGUAAAGGCCCACCAAGGCGACGAUCAGUAGCUGGUCUGAGAGGACGAUCAGCCACACUGGGACUGAGACACGGCCCAGACUCCUACAGGAGGCAGCAGUGGGGAAUUUUGGACAAUGGGCGAAAGCCUGAUCCAGCAAUGCCGCGUGUGUGAAGAAGGCCUCGGUUGGUAAGU